GAUAGGAAUUCCACGUGUAGCGGUGAAAUGCGUAGAGAUGUGGAGGAACACCAGUGGCGAAGGCGACUCUCUGGUCUGUAACUGACGCUGAGGAGCGAAAGCGUGGGGAGCGAACAGGAUUAGAUACCCUGGUAGUCCACGCCGUAAACGAUGAGUGCUAAGUGUUAGGGGGUUUCCGCCCCUUAGUGCUGCAGCUAACGCAUUAAGCACUCCGCCUGGGGAGUACGGUCGCAAGACUGAAACUCAAAGGAAUUGACGGGGGCCCGCACAAGCGGUGGAGCAUGUGGUUUAAUUCGAAGCAACGCGAAGAACCUUACCAGGUCUUGACAUCCUCUGACAAUCCUAGAGAUAGGACGUCCCCUUCGGGGGCAGAGUGACAGGUGGUGCAUGGUUGUCGUCAGCUCGUGUCGUGAGAUGUUGGGUUAAGUCCCGCAACGAGCGCAACCCUUGAUCUUAGUUGCCAGCAUUCAGUUGGGCACUCUAAGGUGACUGCCGGUGACAAACCGGAGGAAGGUGGGGAUGACGUCAAAUCAUCAUGCCCCUUAUGACCUGGGCUACACACGUGCUACAAUGGACAGAACAAAGGGCAGCGAAACCGCGAGGUUAAGCCAAUCCCACAAAUCUGUUCUCAGUUCGGAUCGCAGUCUGCAACUCGACUGCGUGAAGCUGGAAUCGCUAGUAAUCGCGGAUCAGCAUGCCGCGG
This 703-nucleotide ribosomal RNA is filed under the name Bacillus sp. (in: firmicutes). RNAcentral describes it as "bacterial SSU rRNA". It matches the Rfam family "Bacterial small subunit ribosomal RNA", at positions 659 to 1362 of the family's 1533-position model. Lineage: Bacteria; Bacillati; Bacillota; Bacilli; Caryophanales; Bacillaceae. The record is from RNAcentral.